RNAcentral lists this ribosomal RNA (882 nucleotides) under Fusarium solani. RNAcentral describes it as "partial large subunit ribosomal RNA". It matches the Rfam family "Eukaryotic large subunit ribosomal RNA", at positions 37 to 952 of the family's 3401-position model. The record is from RNAcentral. Lineage: Eukaryota; Fungi; Ascomycota; Sordariomycetes; Hypocreales; Nectriaceae.
AGCAUAUCAAUAAGCGGAGGAAAAGAAACCAACAGGGAUUGCCCCAGUAACGGCGAGUGAAGCGGCAACAGCUCAAAUUUGAAAUCUGGCUCUCGGGCCCGAGUUGUAAUUUGUAGAGGAUGCUUUUGGUGAGGUGCCUUCCGAGUUCCCUGGAACGGGACGCCAUAGAGGGUGAGAGCCCCGUCUGGUUGGACACCGAUCCUCUGUAAAGCUCCUUCGACGAGUCGAGUAGUUUGGGAAUGCUGCUCUAAAUGGGAGGUAUAUGUCUUCUAAAGCUAAAUACCGGCCAGAGACCGAUAGCGCACAAGUAGAGUGAUCGAAAGAUGAAAAGAACUUUGAAAAGAGAGUUAAAAAGUACGUGAAAUUGUUGAAAGGGAAGCGCUUGUGACCAGACUUGGGCUUGGUUGAUCAUCCGGGGUUCUCCCCGGUGCACUCUUCCGGCUCAGGCCAGCAUCAGUUCGCCCUGGGGGAUAAAGGCUUCGGGAAUGUGGCUCUCUCCGGGGAGUGUUAUAGCCCGCUGCGUAAUACCCUGUGGCGGACUGAGGUUCGCGCAUUCGCAAGGAUGCUGGCGUAAUGGUCAUCAGUGACCCGUCUUGAAACACGGACCAAGGAGUCGUCUUCGUAUGCGAGUGUUCGGGUGUCAAACCCCUACGCGAAAUGAAAGUGAACGCAGGUGAGAGCUUCGGCGCAUCAUCGACCGAUCCUGAUGUUAUCGGAUGGAUUUGAGUAAGAGCAUACGGGGCCGGACCCGAAAGAAGGUGAACUAUGCCUGUGUAGGGUGAAGCCAGAGGAAACUCUGGUGGAGGCUCGCAGCGGUUCUGACGUGCAAAUCGAUCGUCAAACAUGGGCAUGGGGGCGAAAGACUAAUCGAACUUCUUGGCC